Long non-coding RNA from Cloeon dipterum, 623 nucleotides. RefSeq lists it as uncharacterized. The transcript has 4 exons. Lineage: Eukaryota; Metazoa; Arthropoda; Insecta; Ephemeroptera; Baetidae. The record is from RefSeq and is a predicted model, not a curated record.
UCUAGGCAAUCCACACAAUCGGCCUGAAGGGGUAGCGAGUCUAGGAUUUUUUGAAUCUGAUAUAGAUGGACGUUUCACCAGGGCAAACGCAGACAAUGUUUGUGUCCUGGUCAUUCACUACGAGUUCAAAAACGAUCCUAAUUUUGCGUUCCGAAAAGGAGACGCUAAAGACGUAGAAAACCUAAAGACUUUCUUUGGGGAAAACCGAAAUUGCAAUUUCCGUAACUUUCGGUCCCCAAACAAAAAGACUCUGCUCCAACUUCUGGGAGAUCAAGAAAAGCUUUUGCAGUUUUUCAACUCACAAGAUGACGUACCCUCUGUUUUCGUGCUUUUCAUCCUCUCUCAUGGGUCUGAAAACGGAAUGAUAUUUACCGACCACUUAAAAAGUGAAACUGAUGAGAACGAAUAUUUCACAACAGAUGAGGUGCUUGACUCAUUACAGAGGCUACAGAGUUUCGAUAAAUGUCUAAAAGUCGUGAAUUUUGGGCCAUGCCGGGGGCCAUUGGAAGAUUCAAAAUUCGACAGGAAGAAUUCAUACGAAAACUACAGAAACAUGAAUUCAUGCAGAAUCACCACUCGCCCAGGAAUGCACAAUUUUUACGUGUUCUAUUCUACAGUUGAAA